This 300-nucleotide unclassified non-coding RNA is filed under the name uncultured Chaetomiaceae. RNAcentral's name for it is "partial contains 5.8S ribosomal RNA, internal transcribed spacer 2, and large subunit ribosomal RNA". The stretch from base 1 to 102 matches the Rfam family "5.8S ribosomal RNA", at positions 53 to 154 of the family's 154-position model. The record is from RNAcentral. Lineage: Eukaryota; Fungi; Ascomycota; Sordariomycetes; Sordariales.
AUGCGAUAAGUAAUGUGAAUUGCAGAAUUCAGUGAAUCAUCGAAUCUUUGAACGCACAUUGCGCCCGCCAGUAUCCUGGCGGGCAUGCCUGUUCGAGCGUCAUUUCAACCAUCAAGCCCCCGGCUUGUGUUGGGGACCUGCGGCUGUCCGCAGGCCCUGAAAACCAGUGGCGGGCUCGCUAGUCACACCGAGCGUAGUAGCAUACAUCUCGCUCAGGGCGUGCUGCGGGUUCCGGCCGUUAAACGACCUUCAUAACCCAAGGUUGACCUCGGAUCAGGUAGGAAGACCCGCUGAACUUAA